This 247-nucleotide ribosomal RNA is filed under the name uncultured Methyloversatilis sp. RNAcentral's name for it is "partial 16S ribosomal RNA". It matches the Rfam family "Bacterial small subunit ribosomal RNA", at positions 527 to 773 of the family's 1533-position model. The record is from RNAcentral. Lineage: Bacteria; Pseudomonadati; Pseudomonadota; Betaproteobacteria; Nitrosomonadales; Sterolibacteriaceae.
GUAGGGUGCGAGCGUUAAUCGGAAUUACUGGGCGUAAAGCGUGCGCAGGCGGUUGUGUAAGACAGGUGUGAAAUCCCCGGGCUUAACCUGGGAACUGCGCUUGUGACUGCACGGCUAGAGUAUGGCAGAGGGGGGUGGAAUUCCACGUGUAGCAGUGAAAUGCGUAGAGAUGUGGAGGAACACCGAUGGCGAAGGCAGCCCCCUGGGCCAAUACUGACGCUCAUGCACGAAAGCGUGGGGAGCAAAC